RNAcentral lists this microRNA precursor (52 nucleotides) under Pongo abelii (Sumatran orangutan). Its description in RNAcentral is "mir-1302 microRNA precursor family". It matches the Rfam family "mir-1302 microRNA precursor family". Lineage: Eukaryota; Metazoa; Chordata; Mammalia; Primates; Hominidae. The record is from Rfam by way of RNAcentral.
GUUUUAGUAUAAGUAUCUCCCAAGCAAUAUUUGAGGCAUACUUAUACUAAAA